GGGGCUGAUUUGGCUUUGACAGCAAGAUGAAUUGAUUUGUAAGCAUGUCGAGCAACGCAACUAACUCGUUAAACUUUUUGCAACUUUUUAAACGGCGAAAAUAACUACGCUCUCGCAGCAUAAUCUUGCCAGGCACGAUUAGCUAAAUUCCUCGCUCAAGGAGUGAGGAACGAGAUGUCUCGCAAACAAUGCUUCCCGGUGGUUGUUUGCACAUGGGGCACCAUUCACAUUGGGAUAGUUUGGGUAGAUUUUUCGAUGCCCUUGCGAAAUUCAGAAAAUAAGGAAACAAUAGAUUGUUCUUUUUCAGUUGUUUCUCGAAAAAAUUUUAAAGGACUAAACAUGUAGAAAGCAUUUUGGUUUCUUGUUUGGACCAGGGUUCGACUCCCUGCAGCUCCACCU
RNAcentral lists this transfer-messenger RNA (399 nucleotides) under Bacteroidales. RNAcentral's name for it is "JABHKC01 sp018692315 Standard tmRNA". It matches the Rfam family "transfer-messenger RNA". Rfam says of the family: Bacterial tmRNA, also known as 10Sa RNA or SsrA, is named for its dual tRNA and mRNA-like properties. Its role is to liberate the mRNA from a stalled ribosome. Lineage: Bacteria; Pseudomonadati; Bacteroidota; Bacteroidia. The record is from RNAcentral. RNAcentral also lists the same sequence under 1 other name.